UACGUAGGGUGCAAGCGUUGUCCGGAAUUAUUGGGCGUAAAGAGCUCGUAGGUGGCCUGUCGCGUCGGCUGUGAAAACUCGGGGCUCAACUCCGAGCUUGCAGUCGAUACGGGCAGGCUAGAGUUCGGCAGGGGAGACUGGAAUUCCUGGUGUAGCGGUGAAAUGCGCAGAUAUCAGGAGGAACACCGGUGGCGAAGGCGGGUCUCUGGGACGGUACUGACGCUGAGGCGCGAAAGCGUGGGGAGCAAACAGG
RNAcentral lists this ribosomal RNA (253 nucleotides) under uncultured bacterium. Its description in RNAcentral is "partial 16S ribosomal RNA". It matches the Rfam family "Bacterial small subunit ribosomal RNA", at positions 524 to 776 of the family's 1533-position model. The record is from RNAcentral.